AUGAAAAUAAAAUUUGGAUUUUUUUUGUUUAUUUCACUUUUCCUUCUUAAGAAGGAUUUGUAUAUUUAUGGACGCUAUGAGUCUUCUAUAAAAGAUCAUAGUAGUACAUUAAAUAUACCAUUUACGAAUAAACAAUCAGAAGAUAAUGAAAUAUUUAAUCAAAAUUUCGAAAAAAUAUUUAAAAAAAACAGAAAUGCUAAUACAAAUAAUAAAAAUAAUGAAAAUAAUGAAAAUAAUGAAAAUAAUGAAAAUAAUGAAAAUAGUCAAACCGAUGGAGAUGAUUUGAAUUUGAAUAUUGUAGAAGGAAAUGAAGAAUUUUUAACAAAACAAAUAUUAAUGGAUUUAUCAGGCAAAUUUAUAGUAGAUGUUAUAAAUGAUCAUACGAUGCAAUUUUUGGAAAAUUUAAAAAAAGAAAAAAAUGAAGAAUCAGUAAAUUCCAAUUCUAUAGAAGAUAUAACAGAUAACGACAUUAACUCCAUUGAAAACAUUGAGAAUAUUGAAAACAUUGAGAAUAUUGAAAACAUUGAGAAUAUUAACCCUAGUAAAGAUACAGAUUUGAAUAAAAAUAAGGAAGAUGACAAUGCCGACGAAUUUCAAAUUGAACUUGAAGAAAGUUGCUCACCAUUUGCUUGUGAAAAAAUUAUGAUUGCAAGAGAAAUAAAAAAAGGUGAAGAAACAAAUGAAUUAAAAAAAACAGAAUUGGAUGAAAAUAAUAUGACUUAUAAUGACACAAAUAACAUACAAAACUUAAAGGAUAUAAACGAAAUAAACAAUACUAGUAACAGUAACGACAGUAAUAACAGUAACGACAGUAAUAACAGUAACGACAUUAAUAACAGUAACGACAUUAAUAACAGUANNNNNNNNNNUAAUAACAGUAACGACAUUAAUAACAGUAACGACAUUAAUAACAGUAAUGCAAAAUCAAAUGUUGAAGCAUUUUAUAGUAAAUCAGUUGGAGAUGAUAUAGAAAAUAAAAAAUUUAUAGUAACUGAUGGAGAUAGUAUAUAUAUAUUAGAAGAGAUGGAUGAAAGUAACGAUAAAAAUAAUGAUGGGAAUGAUAAUUUAAUAUUAAAUAAAAAUAAAGAAGAACAAGAAAUUAAAAUGCAUUUACCUACUGACAACUCACAAUUAAAUAAAGAAGAACGAGAAGAAAUGGAAAAAUUUUUAGAACAAUUAAAUAUGGAAUUAUUAAAUGAACAAAAUAAAAAUGAAACAAAUGAAGACACAAUUGAUAAUCUUAAAACAGUACAAACAAAUGUUGAAAAAAAUAUACGUGAACAUAAUAAUGCUGAUAUAGAAUUAAAAAAUAAAAAAAAUGAAGAUAUUUAUCAAUUGUUUGAUGGAGAAGAUUUGAAUGAUAACUUUUUAAGUAAUGAAUUAUUACAUUUAAAUGAAGAAGAACUAACAAAAAAAAUAUUUGAGGAUAUACAAAUGAAUAAUGAAGAUAAAAUACAAUGCCAUAAUUUUUCGAAUGAUGAAAACAAAUGUAACUCUUAUAAAAAAUGUACUUAUGUAAAUAUUGAUAAUAAUGAUUUAUGUUUUUUAGAUUAUAAUUAUAUGUUAUUUUUAAAAAGAAACAAUUGUGCAUUGCAAUCGAAAUCGGCUCUUUUAUCCAUAUCCAAAGAUUUGUUAAAGUAA
Molecule: long non-coding RNA, 1641 nt
Organism: Piliocolobus tephrosceles (Ugandan red Colobus)
Lineage: Eukaryota; Metazoa; Chordata; Mammalia; Primates; Cercopithecidae
Source: Ensembl